CAGGACGAACGCUGGCGGCAUGCUCAUACAUGCAAGUCGAACGAUAAGGUCUCUUCGGAGAUACAUAAGUGGCGGACGGGUGGAGUAAUAUGUAGGAAAUCUGCCCUUGAGAGGGGGACAACAGAGGGAAACUUCUGCUAAUACCCCAUAUGAGCGUACCUGAAAUGGUAUUCUUGAAAACUCCGGUGCUCAAGGAUGAGCCUGCAUCUGAUUAGCUUGUUGGCGGUGUAAUGGACCACCAAGGCGACGAUCAGUAGCUGGUUUGAGAGGAUGAUCAGCCACAAUGGGACUGAGACACGGCCCAUACUCCUACGGGAGGCAGCAGUAGGGAAUUUUGCGCAAUGGGCGAAAGCCUGAACCGCAGCAAUGCCGCGUGAACGUAGAAGCCCUUCGGGGUGUAAAGUUCUGUCAGUGGGGACGAAUUCUGACGGUACCCACAGAGGAAGCACCGGCUAACUCCGUGCCAGCCGCGGC
RNAcentral lists this ribosomal RNA (474 nucleotides) under uncultured bacterium. RNAcentral describes it as "bacterial SSU rRNA". It matches the Rfam family "Bacterial small subunit ribosomal RNA", at positions 25 to 518 of the family's 1533-position model. The record is from RNAcentral.